This 914-nucleotide ribosomal RNA is filed under the name uncultured archaeon. RNAcentral's name for it is "bacterial SSU rRNA". It matches the Rfam family "Archaeal small subunit ribosomal RNA", at positions 1 to 922 of the family's 1478-position model. The record is from RNAcentral.
UUCCGGUUGAUCCCGCCGGACCUGACUGCUAUCGGAUUGAUACUGAGCCAUGCGAGUCAUUGUAGCAAUACAAGGCAGACGGCUCAGUAACGCGUAGUCAACCUAACCUAUGGAUGGGACUAACCUCGGGAAACUGAGAAUAAUGUCCAAUAGAACAAUAUACCUGGAAUGGUUUGUGUUCCAAAUGAUUUAUCGCCGUAGGAUGGGACUGCGGCCUAUCAGUUUGUUGGUGAGGUAAUGGCCCACCAAGACUAUUACAGGUACGGGCUCUGAGAGGAGUAGCCCGGAGAUGGGUACUGAGACACGGACCCAGGCCCUAUGGGGCGCAGCAGGCGAGAAAACUUUGCAAUGUGCGAAAGCACGACAAGGUUAAUCCGAGUGAUUUGUGCUAAACGAAUCUUUUGUUAGUCCUAGAAACACUAACGAAUAAGGGGUGGGCAAGUCCUGGUGUCAGCCGCCGCGGUAAAACCAGCACCUCAAGUGGUCAGGAUGAUUAUUGGGCCUAAAGCAUCCGUAGCCGGCUCUAUAAGUUUUCGGUUAAAUCUGUAUGCUCAACAUACAGGCUGCCGGGAAUACUGCAGAGCUAGGGAGUGGGAGAGGUAGACGGUACUCGGUAGGAAGGGGUAAAAUCCUUUGAUCUAUUGAUGACCACCUGUGACGAAGACGGUCUACCAGAACACGUCCGACGGUGAGGGAUGAAAGCUGGGGGAGCAAACCGGAUUAGAUACCCGGGUAGUCCCAGCUGUAAACUAUGCAAACUCAGUGAUGCAUUGGCUUGUGGCCAAUGCAGUGCUGCAGGGAAGCCGUUAAGUUUGCCGCCUGGGAAGUACGUACGCAAGUAUGAAACUUAAAGGAAUUGGCGGGGGAGCACCACAAGGGGUGAAGCCUGCGGUUCAAUUGGAGUCAACGCCGGG